GGCACCCUCGCUUCUUUGUGUGAGCACCGCCUGCAGCGCAGUGCAACGUCCCCUCCGCAGCCUUGUGCCUUAGUGAAGAAACUACCCCAAAUAGUUUCUUGCUGCAUCAUGCUGUGCUGCGUGCUUUCUGGUGGUGACCCUGACCUUUGCUGGGAUGGUAGUUAAAACAUUUAUGUGACAGAAGACGUUUUCUGUGUAUGACUUCAAAAACAAGGGGAAAGCAUCUGACAUCAAACAACAUCAUCAGUGCUGCUGACAUCAGGCACUGAGUUACACCGUCUGGGCUGCAGAGAUGCGAUUAAUCUUGUUUGCUGUUAACCAGGUGAACGCAGUCAGGAGCACAACAGUGAGCAAGCUGAAGAUUAGGGAGGAAUAUGAAGAAAAUUUGGAAGGUUUGAGUUUUUGAAAACAAAUAUUUCAUCUGGACUGGAGAGCAUCUGAGUGAGGACCUGAAGGAAGGAUUCCUGCCCAGCAUAAGUGGUGCCACAUUUAUCCAGUGGCAUCCUGACCUAUUCCUGUAGAGAAGGCAAUGAGACAAAUCAGUGGAAGAUGUAUAGAGGGAUAUUUG
Molecule: long non-coding RNA, 568 nt
Organism: Lagopus leucura (white-tailed ptarmigan)
Lineage: Eukaryota; Metazoa; Chordata; Aves; Galliformes; Phasianidae
Exons: 4
Source: RefSeq, a predicted model, not a curated record